CUUGUAAACUUCAUAGUUCCUACUUCCGAGCGAGUAGCUAACACAGCCGCCGAGUAGCUUCAAGUCAUUCACCGUGGAGGACCGCCCGGGGGAGCAGUGGGUGCGCCUCCACGCCAGCGCGGGAGGGGGAGGCGAGGAGGUGAAGGUCGAGGCCACCAUGUUCGACGGCGCUGCGGAGCGUGUCCCGGACGACGCGCCCCUCUUCCGCCGCGUCGAGUCGCUCGAGCGCGGGCCCCGCCUCCACCUCAGCCUCAUCGUCGAGGUCGCCCGGGGCGACCGCGUCCUCGGCUUCGUCUGCUCCGCCUGGCCCGACGACCUCGCCGUCCGCCACGUGCUCACGUUCGCAGCUAGCGGCGGCAGCAGUGGUGGUGGUCGUCGUGGUGGGCGCGAUUUCGAGAAACUAUGGGGCGAGGAGAGGGAAGCAGUGACGAAGUUCUUGAAGGAGAGGCAUUGAAUCAAUUCUUGGUUGUGUAAUGUUGUUUUAGAAAAAAAAAUGGGUUUCUUACCAGUUCCACAAGUCGUUGAAAAAAUAAUUUAACUGUUUACUACAUGGUGAACCACAAUCAAUCUUUUUUUCCUGAAAUGACUUCAAAGUUUCUAAAAAUACUAAAAAAAGUGCUAGCUACAGGUCAUAUAGAGCAACAUCUUCCAUCUUAUGGAGCAUAAUCAGUUUCACUAAUAUACGGCCAACCAUACUAUGGCAAUUUAUUUCCACAUCUGUUAGACCAAGAGAGUCAUCUUCUCCAAUGACUGAAAUGAGAUGAGGGAGAGAAAAAUUCCAGUUCUUGUCGGGAUUACAAUAUUAUUUGUUGUUCAUGUAUCUGGAUUUUACUGGUGUUACAAGAACGGGGAUCUUAUAAGACCUCUCAUGAUGCUUCCUCCAAAAGAAAUACCACCAUUUUGGCACGCAAUAUUCAUCAUCUUGGUGAACGAUACAAUGGUGCGCCAAACUGCUAUGGUUGUCAAAUGUUUACUGCUGAUGUACUAUAAGAACAGCAGAGGCCGUAGCUAUCGUAGGCAGGGUCAAAUGUUGACGAUUGUGGAAUAUUUUCUACUUUUGUACCGUGCAUUAUUGCCUACACCUGUGUGGUACCGUUUUUUCCUGAACAAGGAGUAUGGAAGCCUAUUUUCGUCUCUAACCACUGGCUUGUAUCUCACUUUCAAGUUGACAUCUGUUGUGGAAAAGAUUGGAAAAGGAUGGUGCGUAGCUGCAAAAGAGAGGACAUCUUGCUUGUGUGCUCGCAAGAAGGAUGCAAAGGAUCUGUGAUGAUCAGCUGCUGUUUUGGGUUCUUGUCAUGUAACAUCUCCUAUUUUUAAAGAGCAAAACUGAAAAUGCAGUUCCGGUCUUGUUGAUGAACCGCUAGAGACUUAAUGAUUUUAUAUGGU
This is an RNA transcript of Zea mays, 1386 nucleotides long. RefSeq lists it as uncharacterized. The record is from RefSeq and is marked validated. NCBI's taxonomy places the organism in Eukaryota, Viridiplantae, Streptophyta, Magnoliopsida, Poales, Poaceae. The transcript is spliced from 7 exons.